CGGCAAUGGACGAAAGUCUGACCGAGCAACGCCGCGUGAGUGAAGAAGGUUUUCGGAUCGUAAAGCUCUGUUGUAAGUCAAGAACGUGUGUGAGAGUGGAAAGUUCACACAGUGACGGUAGCUUACCAGAAAGGGACGGCUAACUACGUGCCAGCAGCCGUGGUAAUACGUAGGUCCCGAGCGUUGUCCGGAUUUAUUGGGCGUAAAGGGAGCGCAGGCGGUCAGGAAAGUCUGGAGUAAAAGGCUAUGGCUCAACCAUAGUGUGCUCUGGAAACUGUCUGACUUGAGUGCAGAAGGGGAGAGUGGAAUUCCAUGUGUAGCGGUGAAAUGCGUAGAUAUAUGGAGGAACACCAGUGGCGAAAGCGGCUCUCUGGUCUGUCACUGACGCUGAGGCUCGAAAGCGUGGGUAGCGAACAGGAUUAGAUACCCUGGUAGUCCACGCCGUAAACGAUGAGUGCUAGGUGUUAGGCCCUUUCCGGGGCUUAGUGCCGGAGCUAACGCAAUAAGCACUCCGCCUGGGGAGUACGACCGCAAGGUUGAAACUCAAAGGAAUUGACGGGGGCCCGCACAAGCGGUGGAGCAUGUGGUUUAAUUCGAAGCA
This 601-nucleotide ribosomal RNA is filed under the name Streptococcus mutans. RNAcentral's name for it is "bacterial SSU rRNA". It matches the Rfam family "Bacterial small subunit ribosomal RNA", at positions 366 to 958 of the family's 1533-position model. The record is from RNAcentral. Lineage: Bacteria; Bacillati; Bacillota; Bacilli; Lactobacillales; Streptococcaceae.